GACGAACGCUGGCGGCGUGCUUAACACAUGCAAGUCGAGCGAUGAACCUUUCAUGAAUUUUUCGGAAUGAUUGGAAGAGGAUUAGCGGCGGACGGGUGAGUAACGCGUGAGCAACCUGCCUUAAACAACGGGAUAGCCUCGGGAAACCGGGAUUAAUACCGUAUGAGACCCCGCCUUCACAUGAAGAAGAGGUUAAAGAUUUAUCGGUUUAAGAUGGGCUCGCGUCUGAUUAGCUAGUUGGUGAGAUAAAAGCCCACCAAGGCAACGAUCAGUAACCGGCUUGAGAGAGUGAACGGUCACAUUGGAACUGAGACACGGUCCAAACUCCUACGGGGGACAGCAGUGGGGAAUAUUGCACAAUGGGGGAAACCCUGAUGCAGCGACGCCGCGUGAGCGAUGAAGGAAUUCGUUUCGUAAAGCUCUGUCCAAGGGGAAGAUAAUGACAGUACCCUUGGAGGAAGCCCCGGCUAAAUACGUGCCAGCAGCCGCGGUAA
Molecule: ribosomal RNA, 494 nt
Filed under: uncultured bacterium
Lineage: Bacteria
Description: partial 16S ribosomal RNA
Rfam family: Bacterial small subunit ribosomal RNA
Source: RNAcentral